AGAUUGAACGCUAGCGGGAUGCUUUACACACGCAAGUCGAACGGCAGCGCGGACUUCGGUCUGGCGGCGAGUGGCGAACGGGUGAGUAAUAUAUCGGAACGUGCCCAGUAGCGGGGGAUAACUACGCGAAAGCGUGGCUAAUACCGCAUACGCCCUACGGGGGAAAGGGGGGGAUCGCAAGACCUCUCACUAUUGGAGCGGCCGAUAUCAGAUUAGCUAGUUGGUGAGGUAAAGGCUCACCAAGGCGACGAUCUGUAGCUGGUUUGAGAGGACGACCAGCCACACUGGGACUGAGACACGGCCCAGACUCCUACGGGAGGCAGCAGUGGGGAAUUUGGACAAGUGGGGGAAACCUGGAUCCAGCCAUCCCGCGUGUGCGAUAGAAGGUCCGUUCGGGUUAGUAAAGCUAACGUUUUGGCGUAAGGAAAGUAAACGGACGUACGACCCGUAAGUAACCGGACCGGU
RNAcentral lists this ribosomal RNA (465 nucleotides) under uncultured soil bacterium. Its description in RNAcentral is "bacterial SSU rRNA". It matches the Rfam family "Bacterial small subunit ribosomal RNA", at positions 26 to 497 of the family's 1533-position model. The record is from RNAcentral.